GCCUCACUUCGAUUAACGCCAUCAAUUAGCUUCGCAGAAAAUGGUGCCAAGGGGUCUACUUUAGACAUCUCCAAAUCUUCCAAUUCCACUUCAUGAGUGUGUCCAUAGCCAUCAACAAACGUACACGACCUUAUAUUGAACCUAUAAACACAAUAUUUUUCACCUCCAUCAAGUAGCUCCUUAAGGCUUUCACAUCGAGAUGUACUAAUAAUAUUAGAAGAAUUUAAUACUCCGGAAACUGUAUAAGUGGACUCAUUCAUCACUCUCUGUUCAGACUGUAUGACUUCUUUAACACUUUCCAUAGCCAACUGAGCCUUUU
This 319-nucleotide unclassified non-coding RNA is filed under the name Hevea brasiliensis (rubber tree). Lineage: Eukaryota; Viridiplantae; Streptophyta; Magnoliopsida; Malpighiales; Euphorbiaceae. The record is from RNAcentral.